Long non-coding RNA from Drosophila montana, 1375 nucleotides. RefSeq lists it as uncharacterized. The record is from RefSeq and is a predicted model, not a curated record. NCBI's taxonomy places the organism in Eukaryota, Metazoa, Arthropoda, Insecta, Diptera, Drosophilidae. The transcript is spliced from 2 exons.
ACAACGACAACAACAACAACUGCGACAAUAAACAAUAAACAAUGCCAAGUCCGAGGGACAGUUAUCGACCCAGAGACGGAGCCAAGGUCGUAAUUAAACAACGCCCCAACUCCCAAUUGUCACACGUCAAAACUUGGUAGCUGCGACUACGUAAAUAGACCUAAAUAAGAGCCCAGCUAAACCUGACUAAAUCUGACAGUACCAAAAACCUAACCUAACUUUCCAAAUGGUUCAAUUUUGGUUGGAGCUCGGUUCCAGGGCCAACUAUUUGUUUACUUGAGCAGCUGCUAUCGCUCGGCAAAUUGAUUUAUUUAUAAUAUCGCUAAACAGAAUUUCAUUUAUUGUAUCUCAGGUGUGGUCAGGAGGGUGUCGAGCUGCAUUGUCACGAGUUAGCAACCGCUGCCGCUGCCGCUGCCGCUGCUGCUGGGCACAAGCAUGACGUCAUGGAGGCAAAUUUUGAGCAGCAUUUUGUGUGGCGCGUGUGAAACAAAGCGCGGCAAAGACGAGUUUGGUGGUUUUACCCAUUCACCCAUUCGCAUUCGGAUGCCAAGAAAAAUUAACAACAACAACAACAGCAAUAAAUCGAAAGAAAAGCGAAAUGUGAAUGACUUGGACAUUGGUGAAAAGAAAAUUUGGAAAUUGUACGGUGUUGCCGUGCCGGAUUUUAGACACAAGAAUUUUGAUUCGGACAGGCUUGCCAGAAAGUUAAUGGCAUGUCCAAUAACAAGAUCGAGCACUCACUUGGUUCCGUUUGCAGCUGACGUCACGUUCACCUGUGAUUGACGUCCAAGCGUGGAAAAAGACACAAACAGCCAACACAUAACAUUUUACGCUGCUGGGGGCAUACAAAAAAAAAUAACCAGAAAGCUCGAGUUCAUUAAUAAGGCAUAUGGCAGAGGCCUUGAACCGUCAUCCGAAUGGCCCUGCGACGUCAUUGGCCGUGUUGCUUCUCUGUUUGACCUUUGGAGCAACAGGAGGAAACAGCGUGUGACGUCAUCGAGAGCAGGCUACGUAACCAUUACAGCAGUUUACGUCAAUGCGCAAGCUCUCAAAUGGCGUUAGCUCUCUCUUACAUGUUCGUUCUUACGCACUCUAGCCCAUCUCACCCUGUCUGGCAACCCUUUGCGUUGGCGGCGGCCUACGUGCACUGGUGAAUGUGCGUAGGUCUGUGAACACCGGGUGGUCCCCCUUCGGUUCCGGGGUUGGUGAAGCUUGCAGUUGCUACGUAGGUGGCUGCCAAAUGCAUGUCACGGCAAAAAGCGUACCAUUCCCACACUGAACUUGAACUGCCGCCUGGAACCGGAAUUCUUGCUAAUUUUAGAUGCCCUUCGUAGUGCUGAUUAAAUUAAAACGUACAUAGCUCAAUAAUCACACA